CCAGACUCCUACGGGAGGCAGCAGUGGGGAAUAUUGCACAAUGGGGGAAACCCUGAUGCAGCGACGCCGCGUGAGUGAAGAAGUAUUUCGGUAUGUAAAGUUCUAUCAGCAGGGAAGAAAAUGACGGUACCUGACUAAGAAGCCCCGGCUAACUACGUGCCAGCAGCCGCGGUAAUACGUAGGGGGCAAGCGUUAUCCGGAUUUACUGGGUGUAAAGGGGGCGCAGACGGCAGCGCAAGCCAGGAGUGAAAGCCCGGGGCCCAACCCCGGGACUGCUCUUGGAACUGCGCGGCUGGAGUGCAGGAGGGGCAGGCGGAAUUCCUGGUGUAGCGGUGAAAUGCGUAGAUAUCAGGAGGAACACCGGCGGCGAAGGCAGCCUACCGGCGCGCAACUGACGCUCAUGCACGAAAGCGUGGGUAUCGAACAGGAUUAGAUACCCGUGUA
Molecule: ribosomal RNA, 444 nt
Filed under: uncultured bacterium
Lineage: Bacteria
Description: bacterial SSU rRNA
Rfam family: Bacterial small subunit ribosomal RNA
Source: RNAcentral